AGUGAACGCUGGCGGUAGGCCUAACACAUGCAAGUCGAACGGCAGCACAGGAGAGCUUGCUCUCUGGGUGGCGAGUGGCGGACGGGUGAGGAAUACAUCGGAAUCUACUUUUUCGUGGGGGAUAACGUAGGGAAACUUACGCUAAUACCGCAUACGACCUACGGGUGAAAGCAGGGGAUCUUCGGACCUUGCGCGAUUGAAUGAGCCGAUGUCGGAUUAGCUAGUUGGCGGGGUAAAGGCCCACCAAGGCGACGAUCCGUAGCUGGUCUGAAAGGAUAAUCAGCCACACUGGAACUGAGACACGGUCCAGACUCCUACGAGAGGCAGCAGUGGGGAAGAUUGGACAAUGGGCGCAAGCCUGAUCCAGCCAUACCGCGUGGGUGAAGAAGGCCUUCGGGUUGUAAAGCCCUUUUGUUGGGAAAGAAAUCCAGCUGGUUAAUACCCGGUUGGGAUGACGGUACCCAAAGAAUAAGCACCGGCUAACUUCGUGCCAGCCGCCGCCGUAA
Molecule: ribosomal RNA, 506 nt
Filed under: uncultured bacterium
Lineage: Bacteria
Description: partial 16S ribosomal RNA
Rfam family: Bacterial small subunit ribosomal RNA
Source: RNAcentral